This 72-nucleotide transfer RNA is filed under the name Apaloderma vittatum (bar-tailed trogon). It matches the Rfam family "tRNA". From Rfam's summary of the family: Transfer RNA (tRNA) molecules are approximately 80 nucleotides in length. Their secondary structure includes four short double-helical elements and three loops (D, anti-codon, and T loops). Further hydrogen bonds mediate the characteristic L-shaped molecular structure. tRNAs have two regions of fundamental functional importance: the anti-codon, which is responsible for specific mRNA codon recognition, and the 3' end, to which the tRNAs corresponding amino acid is attached (by aminoacyl-tRNA synthetases). tRNAs cope with the degeneracy of the genetic code in two manners: having more than one tRNA (with a specific anti-codon) for a particular amino acid; and 'wobble' base-pairing, i.e. permitting non-standard base-pairing at the 3rd anti-codon position. The record is from Rfam by way of RNAcentral. Lineage: Eukaryota; Metazoa; Chordata; Aves; Trogoniformes; Trogonidae.
GCCCAGUUAGCUCAGUCAGUUGAGCGUGGUGCUGAUAACACCAAGGUCGUGGGUAUGAUUCCCAUUUGGUCC